UACAGAGGGUGCGAGCGUUGUCCGGAAUCACUGGGCGUAAAGGGCGCGUAGGCGGCGCGGUAAGCGUGCGGUGAAAGCCCGGGGCUCAACCCCGGGUCGGCCGUGCGGACUGCCGGGCUGGAGCACUGUAGAGGCUAAUGGAAUUCCGGGUGUAGCGGUGGAAUGCGUAGAGAUCCGGAAGAACACCGGUGGCGAAGGCGGUUAGCUGGGCAGUUGCUGACACUGAGGCGCGACAGCGUGGGGAGCAAACAGG
This 253-nucleotide ribosomal RNA is filed under the name uncultured bacterium. RNAcentral describes it as "partial 16S ribosomal RNA". It matches the Rfam family "Bacterial small subunit ribosomal RNA", at positions 524 to 776 of the family's 1533-position model. The record is from RNAcentral.